UACAGGGGGUGCAAACGUUGCUCGGAAUCAUUGGGCGUAAAGCGCACGUAGGCGGUUUGUUAUGUCGGAUGUGAAAGCCCUUGGCUCAACUGAGGAAGUGCAUCCGAAACUGGCAGCUAGAGUACUAAAGAGGGUCGCGGAAUUCCCGGUGUAGAGGUGAAAUUCGUAGAUAUCGGGAGGAACACCGGUGGCGAAGGCGGCGACCUGGGUAGAUACUGACGCUGAGGUGCGAAAGCGUGGGGAGCAAACAGG
This 252-nucleotide ribosomal RNA is filed under the name uncultured bacterium. RNAcentral's name for it is "partial 16S ribosomal RNA". It matches the Rfam family "Bacterial small subunit ribosomal RNA", at positions 524 to 776 of the family's 1533-position model. The record is from RNAcentral.